Molecule: ribosomal RNA, 505 nt
Filed under: uncultured bacterium
Lineage: Bacteria
Description: bacterial SSU rRNA
Rfam family: Bacterial small subunit ribosomal RNA
Source: RNAcentral
CUGGCUCAGGAUGAACGCUAGCGGCAGGCUUAACACAUGCAAGUCGAGGGGCAUCGGGAGUAGCAAUACUGCCGGCGACCGGCGCAAGGGUGCGUAACGCGUGAGCAACAUGCCCGUAUCAGGGGGAUAAUCCAUGGAAACGUGGUCUAAUACCCCAUAGUAAUUAUGUAAGGCAUCUUAUAUAAUUUAAAGCUUUGGUGGAUACGGAUUGGCUCGCGUGACAUUAGCUAGAUGGUAAGGUAACGGCUUACCAUGGCUACGAUGUCUAGGGGUUCUGAGAGGAAGGUCCCCCACACUGGAACUGAGACACGGUCCAGACUCCUACGGGAGGCAGCAGUGAGGAAUAUUGGACAAUGGAUGGAAAUCUGAUCCAGCCAUGCCGCGGUGCAAGGAAGACGGCCCUAUGGGUUGUAAACUGCUUUUGUAUGGGAGCAAUAAGGGCUACGUGUAGUCCGAUGAGAGUACCAUACGAAUAAGCACCGGCUAACUCCGUGCCAGCCGCCGC